This 257-nucleotide long non-coding RNA is filed under the name Setaria italica (foxtail millet). Its description in RNAcentral is "long non-coding RNA (SITA_LNC001592)". Lineage: Eukaryota; Viridiplantae; Streptophyta; Magnoliopsida; Poales; Poaceae. The record is from RNAcentral.
GGGAAUAUAGGACCUCGAGAACACAGCUCAGCCUAUGAAGAGAACAAAGCAGAGAAUGUCGAUGCAACAGCCACGAACUAGUCGGACUUUACAUUCAGCUCUGCACGUGUGUCCUGGUUAGCUUUUGCAUACCCAGGAUUGUAGAAUCAAUCACCUGUACAGAAUUCACUUUCGCAGGACUCAUCAACGCCACUUUAUCGUAUCAUCAUGAAAUAAAAAAUUUCAUACAAAUCCACCGCGGCCACCGUUAGAAUCUU